GCCUGGCUGGCUCAGUCGGUAGAGCAUGUGACUCUUGAUCUCAGGGUCAUGAGUUUGAACCCCUUGUUGGGUG
Molecule: transfer RNA, 73 nt
Filed under: Ailuropoda melanoleuca (giant panda)
Lineage: Eukaryota; Metazoa; Chordata; Mammalia; Carnivora; Ursidae
Rfam family: tRNA
About the family: Transfer RNA (tRNA) molecules are approximately 80 nucleotides in length. Their secondary structure includes four short double-helical elements and three loops (D, anti-codon, and T loops). Further hydrogen bonds mediate the characteristic L-shaped molecular structure. tRNAs have two regions of fundamental functional importance: the anti-codon, which is responsible for specific mRNA codon recognition, and the 3' end, to which the tRNAs corresponding amino acid is attached (by aminoacyl-tRNA synthetases). tRNAs cope with the degeneracy of the genetic code in two manners: having more than one tRNA (with a specific anti-codon) for a particular amino acid; and 'wobble' base-pairing, i.e. permitting non-standard base-pairing at the 3rd anti-codon position.
Source: Rfam by way of RNAcentral